RNAcentral lists this ribosomal RNA (253 nucleotides) under uncultured bacterium. Its description in RNAcentral is "partial 16S ribosomal RNA". It matches the Rfam family "Bacterial small subunit ribosomal RNA", at positions 524 to 776 of the family's 1533-position model. The record is from RNAcentral.
UACGGGGGGGGUAAGCGUUGUUCGGAAUUACUGGGCGUAAAGGGCUCGUAGGCGGCCAACUAAGUCAUACGUGAAAUCCCUCAGCUUAACUGGGGAACUGCGUGUGAUACUGGAUAGCUUGGAUUUGGGAGAGGGAUGCGGAAUUCCAGGUGUAGCGGUGAAAUGCGUAGAUAUCUGGAGGAACACCGGUGGCGAAGGCGGCAUCCUGGACCAAUAUUGACGCUGAGGAGCGAAAGCCAGGGGAGCAAACGGG